GACGAACGCUGGCGGCGUGCCUAAUACAUGCAAGUUGAGCGAUGAAGAUUGGUGCUUGCACCAAUUUGAAGAGCAGCGAACGGGUGAGUAACGCGUGGGGAAUCUGCCUUUGAGCGGGGGACAACAUUUGGAAACGAAUGCUAAUACCGCAUAAUAACUUUAAACAUAAGUUUUAAGUUUGAAAGAUGCAAUUGCAUCACUCAAAGAUGAUCCCGCGUUGUAUUAGCUAGUUGGUGAGGUAAAGGCUCACCAAGGCGAUGAUACAUAGCCGACCUGAGAGGGUGAUCGGCCACAUUGGGACUGAGACACGGCCCAAACGCCUACGGGAGGCAGCAGUAGGGAAUCUUCGGCAAUGGACGAAAGUCUGACCGAGCAACGCCGCGUGAGUGAAGAAGGUUUUCGGAUCGUAAAACUCUGUUGGUAGAGAAGAACGUUGGUGAGAGUGGAAAGCUCAUCAAGUGACGGUAACUACCCAGAAAGGGACGGCUAACUACGUG
RNAcentral lists this ribosomal RNA (497 nucleotides) under uncultured bacterium. RNAcentral describes it as "partial 16S ribosomal RNA". It matches the Rfam family "Bacterial small subunit ribosomal RNA", at positions 28 to 507 of the family's 1533-position model. The record is from RNAcentral.